GUUAAGGUAGCAAAGAGGUAAUUGCGUUAGAUUUAGGAUCUGGGAUCAGGGGUUCGAAUCCUCUCUUUAAUU
Molecule: transfer RNA, 72 nt
Filed under: Anthenea aspera
Lineage: Eukaryota; Metazoa; Echinodermata; Asteroidea; Valvatida; Oreasteridae
Description: tRNA-Leu
Rfam family: tRNA
About the family: Transfer RNA (tRNA) molecules are approximately 80 nucleotides in length. Their secondary structure includes four short double-helical elements and three loops (D, anti-codon, and T loops).
Source: RNAcentral